UGGGGAAUUUUGGACAAUGGGGGCAACCCUGAUCCAGCCAUGCCGCGUGAGUGAAGAAGGCCUUCGGGUUGUAAAGCUCUUUCGGCCGGGAAGAAAUCGCAUAGGCUAAUACCCUGUGUGGAUGACGGUACCGGAAUAAGAAGCACCGGCUAACUACGUGCCAGCAGCCGCGGUAAUACGUAGGGUGCGAGCGUUAAUCGGAAUUACUGGGCGUAAAGCGUGCGCAGGCGGUUUUGUAAGACAGGCGUGAAAUCCCCGGGCUCAACCUGGGAACUGCGCUUGUGACUGCAAGGCUAGAGUACGGCAGAGGGGGGUGGAAUUCCACGUGUAGCAGUGAAAUGCGUAGAGAUGUGGAGGAACACCAAUGGCGAAGGCAGCCCCCUGGGUCGAUACUGACGCUCAUGCACGAAAGCGUGGGUAGCAAACAG
RNAcentral lists this ribosomal RNA (428 nucleotides) under uncultured bacterium. Its description in RNAcentral is "bacterial SSU rRNA". It matches the Rfam family "Bacterial small subunit ribosomal RNA", at positions 355 to 775 of the family's 1533-position model. The record is from RNAcentral.